RNAcentral lists this microRNA precursor (79 nucleotides) under Eptesicus fuscus (big brown bat). RNAcentral's name for it is "microRNA efu-mir-452 precursor". Its record names the gene efu-mir-452. It matches the Rfam family "mir-452 microRNA precursor family". Lineage: Eukaryota; Metazoa; Chordata; Mammalia; Chiroptera; Vespertilionidae. The record is from miRBase by way of RNAcentral.
GCACUUACAACUGUUUGCAGAGGAAACUGAGACUUUGUAACUACAUCUCAGUCUCAUCUGCAAAGAAGUAAGUGCUUUG